GGGGGUAUAGCUCAGUUUGGUAGAGCACCUGCCCUGCAAGCAGGGGGUCGACAGUUCGAGUCUGUUUACCUCCACCA
RNAcentral lists this transfer RNA (77 nucleotides) under Clostridia bacterium. RNAcentral describes it as "tRNA-Ala". It matches the Rfam family "tRNA". Rfam says of the family: Transfer RNA (tRNA) molecules are approximately 80 nucleotides in length. The record is from RNAcentral. Lineage: Bacteria; Bacillati; Bacillota; Clostridia.